RNAcentral lists this ribosomal RNA (360 nucleotides) under Streptomyces sp. PM4. RNAcentral's name for it is "bacterial SSU rRNA". It matches the Rfam family "Bacterial small subunit ribosomal RNA", at positions 545 to 903 of the family's 1533-position model. Lineage: Bacteria; Bacillati; Actinomycetota; Actinomycetes; Kitasatosporales; Streptomycetaceae. The record is from RNAcentral.
UCGGAUUAUUGGGCGUAAAGAGCUCGUAGGCGGCUUGUCACGUCGGAUGUGAAAGCCCGGGGCUUAACCCCGGGUCUGCAUUCGAUACGGGCAGGCUAGAGUUCGGUAGGGGAGAUCGGAAUUCCUGGUGUAGCGGUGAAAUGCGCAGAUAUCAGGAGGAACACCGGUGGCGAAGGCGGAUCUCUGGGCCGAUACUGACGCUGAGGAGCGAAAGCGUGGGGAGCGAACAGGAUUAGAUACCCUGGUAGUCCACGCCGUAAACGUUGGGAACUAGGUGUGGGCGACAUUCCACGUCGUCCGUGCCGCAGCUAACGCAUUAAGUUCCCCGCCUGGGGAGUACGGCCGCAAGGCUAAAACUCA